ACAAUACUCCCUCCGUCUGAAAUUAUUUGUCGUAUAAAUAAAUAAAAAUAAAUGUAUCUCGAAUUAAAAUAUAUUUGGAUACAUUUAUUUUUAUGAUAAGUAUUUUCAGACGAAGGGAGUAUAUU
Molecule: non-coding RNA, 125 nt
Organism: Hordeum vulgare subsp. vulgare (domesticated barley)
Lineage: Eukaryota; Viridiplantae; Streptophyta; Magnoliopsida; Poales; Poaceae
Source: Rfam